UACAGAGGUCUCAAGCGUUGUUCGGAAUUACUGGGCGUAAAGCGUGUGUAGGCGGUCCUCUAAGUCGGGUGUGAAAGCCCUGGGCUCAACCCAGGAAGUGCACUCGAAACUGGAGGGCUAGAGUAUCGGAGAGGUUGGUGGAAUUCUCGGUGUAGAGGUGAAAUUCGUAGAUAUCGAGAAGAACACCGGUGGCGAAGGCGGCCAACUGGACGAAUACUGACGCUGAGACACGAAAGCGUGGGGAGCAAACAGG
Molecule: ribosomal RNA, 253 nt
Filed under: uncultured bacterium
Lineage: Bacteria
Description: partial 16S ribosomal RNA
Rfam family: Bacterial small subunit ribosomal RNA
Source: RNAcentral